Long non-coding RNA from Heterocephalus glaber (naked mole-rat), 472 nucleotides. Lineage: Eukaryota; Metazoa; Chordata; Mammalia; Rodentia; Bathyergidae. The record is from Ensembl.
AUCUAGUAACAGCUGUCUCCCAAGCUCACUUGGCUGGAGAUGGUCAACAGCUAACAUGCUGAGCUGCUUCUCCACUUUGAGAGGCCGCAGCCUCAGGAUCCCAGGUAGAGAAAGUAUUUAUGAAAGAUUAAGAAGAUGGCUGACUCCAUCCAGAUGCCACAGGCCAUGCUGCAGCAGCCACAUGACUGUCACAGACACCUCAGGGAUGGUCGACCCAGGAGUGACCACCAGCGACCUACCAAAAUCAAGGGGCUUUGCUGAUAUUGAGGAGUAUCCAUUCUUUCAAAAUGUGGACUGGGACAUGAUGGAACAAAAGCAGGUGGUGCUUCCAUUUAAAUCAAAUAUCUCUGAGUGAUUCGGUUUGGACAACUCUGAUUCUGAAUUUAUUAAUGAACCUGUUCAGCUCACUCCAGAUGAUAAUGACAUUGUGAGGGAGAUUGAUGGAUAUGAAUUUGCAGGUUUUGAGUAUAUC